GACGAACGCUGGCGGCGUGCCUAAUACAUGCAAGUCGAGCGAGUCUGCCUUGAAGAUCGGAGUGCUUGCACUCUGUGAAACAAGAUACAGGCUAGCGGCGGACGGGUGAGUAACACGUGGGUAACCUGCCCAAGAGAUCGGGAUAACACCUGGAAACAGAUGCUAAUACCGGAUAACAACAGAUGAUGCCUAUCAACUGUUUAAAAGAUGGUUCUGCUAUCACUCUUGGAUGGACCUGCGGUGCAUUAGCUAGUUGGUAGGGUAACGGCCUACCAAGGCGAUAAGGCAUAGCCGAAGGGAGAGACUGGUCGGCCACAUUGGGACUGAGACACGGCCCAAACUCCUACGGGAGGCAGCAGUAGGGAAUCUUCCACAAUGGACGCAAGUCUGAUGGAGCAACGCCGCGUGAGUGAAGAAGGGUUUCGGCUCGUAAAGCUCUGUUGUUGGUGAAGAAGGACAGGGGUAGUAACUGACCUUUGUUUGACGGUAAUCAAUUAGAAAGUCACGGCUAACUACGUG
This 519-nucleotide ribosomal RNA is filed under the name uncultured bacterium. Its description in RNAcentral is "partial 16S ribosomal RNA". It matches the Rfam family "Bacterial small subunit ribosomal RNA", at positions 28 to 507 of the family's 1533-position model. The record is from RNAcentral.